Molecule: ribosomal RNA, 427 nt
Filed under: uncultured bacterium
Lineage: Bacteria
Description: partial 16S ribosomal RNA
Rfam family: Bacterial small subunit ribosomal RNA
Source: RNAcentral
UGGGGAAUAUUGCACAAUGGGCGCAAGCCUGAUGCAGCCAUGCCGCGUGUAUGAAGAAGGCCUUCGGGUUGUAAAGUACUUUCAGCGGGGAGGAAGGCGAUAAGGUUAAUAACCUUGUCGAUUGACGUUACCCGCAGAAGAAGCACCGGCUAACUCCGUGCCAGCAGCCGCGGUAAUACGGAGGGUGCAAGCGUUAAUCGGAAUUACUGGGCGUAAAGCGCACGCAGGCGGUCUGUCAAGUCGGAUGUGAAAUCCCCGGGCUCAGCCUGGGAACUGCAUUCGAAACUGGCAGGCUAGAGUCUUGUAGAGGGGGGUAGAAUUCCAGGUGUAGCGGUGAAAUGCGUAGAGAUCUGGAGGAAUACCGGUGGCGAAGGCGGCCCCCUGGACAAAGACUGACGCUCAGGUGCGAAAGCGUGGGGAGCAAACA